Molecule: ribosomal RNA, 253 nt
Filed under: uncultured bacterium
Lineage: Bacteria
Description: partial 16S ribosomal RNA
Rfam family: Bacterial small subunit ribosomal RNA
Source: RNAcentral
UACGUAGGGUGCGAGCGUUAAUCGGAAUUACUGGGCGUAAGGCGUGCGCAGGCGGUGAUGUAAGACAGAUGUGAAAUCCCCGGGCUCAACCUGGGAACUGCAUUUGUGACUGCAUCGCUGGAGUGCGGCAGAGGGGGAUGGAAUUCCGCGUGUAGCAGUGAAAUGCGUAGAUAUGCGGAGGAACACCGAUGGCGAAGGCAAUCCCCUGGGCCUGCACUGACGCUCAUGCACGAAAGCGUGGGGAGCAAACAGG